GAUUUGACUCCCCGAGCAAACAUAUAUCUUUGAUAACCCCCCCACCUGGAGUGCUAUGAUUUUUUGACACAAGGUCUCGCUCUGUCACCCAGGCUGGAUUGCAAUGGCGUGAUCUUGGCUCACUGCAACCUCCGCCUCCCGGGUUCAAGCGAUUCUCCUGCGUUCAAGUGAUUCUCCUGCCUCAGCCUCCAGAGUAGCUGAGAUUACAGGCGUGCGUCACCACACCCGGCUAAUUUUUUGUAUUUUUAGUGGAGACAGGGUUUCCCCAUGUUGGCCAGGCUGGUCGCGAGUGCC
This 294-nucleotide long non-coding RNA is filed under the name Pan troglodytes (chimpanzee). RNAcentral's name for it is "long non-coding RNA NONPTRT008116". Lineage: Eukaryota; Metazoa; Chordata; Mammalia; Primates; Hominidae. The record is from RNAcentral.